UGGGGAAUAUUGGACAAUGGGCGCAAGCCUGAUCCAGCCAUGCCGCGUGAGUGAUGAAGGCCCUAGGGUUGUAAAGCUCUUUCACCGGUGAAGAUAAUGACGGUAACCGGAGAAGAAGCCCCGGCUAACUUCGUGCCAGCAGCCGCGGUAAUACGAAGGGGGCUAGCGUUGUUCGGAAUUACUGGGCGUAAAGCGCACGUAGGCGGAUCGAUCAGUUAGGGGUGAAAUCCCGGGGCUCAACCCCGGAACUGCCUCUAAUACUGUCGAUCUGGAGUUCGAGAGAGGUGAGUGGAAUUCCGAGUGUAGAGGUGAAAUUCGUAGAUAUUCGGAGGAACACCAGUGGCGAAGGCGGCUCACUGGCUCGAUACUGACGCUGAGGUGCGAAAGCGUGGGGA
Molecule: ribosomal RNA, 395 nt
Filed under: uncultured bacterium
Lineage: Bacteria
Description: bacterial SSU rRNA
Rfam family: Bacterial small subunit ribosomal RNA
Source: RNAcentral